RNAcentral lists this small RNA (26 nucleotides) under Bombyx mori (domestic silkworm). RNAcentral describes it as "ovarian small RNA-29152". The record is from RNAcentral. Lineage: Eukaryota; Metazoa; Arthropoda; Insecta; Lepidoptera; Bombycidae.
UCGUAGGUACCAAACGUCAGAUUUGA